GAUGAAGAACGCAGCGAAAUGCGAUAAGUAAUGUGAAUUGCAGAAUUCAGUGAAUCAUCGAAUCUUUGGACGCACAUUGCGCCCGCGAGUAUUCUCGCGGGCAUGCCUGUCCGAGCGUCAUUUCAACCCUCAGGGCCCGCCUGCUUCGGCAGGCGCGGCGCUGGUGUUGGGGAUCGGCCUAACCGCCGUCCCCCAAAUACAGUGGCGGUCUCGCUGCAGCCUCCCCUGCGUAGUAGCAACACUCGCAUGCGGAGCGCGGCGCGGCCACGCCGUAAAACCCCCGACUUUCUGAACGUUGACCUCGGAUCAGGUAGGAAUACCCGCUGAACUUAAGCAUAUCAAUAAGCGGAGA
This 352-nucleotide unclassified non-coding RNA is filed under the name soil metagenome. Its description in RNAcentral is "partial contains 5.8S ribosomal RNA, internal transcribed spacer 2, and large subunit ribosomal RNA". The stretch from base 1 to 120 matches the Rfam family "5.8S ribosomal RNA", at positions 35 to 154 of the family's 154-position model. The record is from RNAcentral.